GACGAACGCUGGCGGCGUGCCUAAUACAUGCAAGUCGAACGCAGUGGGGACGGGUGAGUAACACGUGGGUAACCUCCCAUCAGAGGGGAUAACACUUGGAAACAGGUGCUAAACCGAUACCUGAUGAUGGACCCGCGGGUGAUUAGCUUAUUGGGGAGGUAACGGCUCAACAAGGCCACGAUGCAUAGCUGAACUGAGGGGGUGAUCGGCCACACUGGGACUGAGACACGGCCCAGACUCCUACGGGAGGCAGCGGUAGGGAAUCUGCGGCAAUGGACGAAAGUCUGACCGAGCAACGCCGCGUGAGUGAAGAAGUUUUUCGGAUCGUAAAACUCUGUUGUUAGAGAAGCGGUAUCUAACCAGAAAGCCACGGCUAACUACGUGCCAGCAGCCGCGGUAAUAC
This 403-nucleotide ribosomal RNA is filed under the name uncultured bacterium. RNAcentral describes it as "partial 16S ribosomal RNA". It matches the Rfam family "Bacterial small subunit ribosomal RNA", at positions 28 to 526 of the family's 1533-position model. The record is from RNAcentral.